Non-coding RNA from Roridomyces roridus, 86 nucleotides. The record is from the annotation of a GenBank genome assembly. NCBI's taxonomy places the organism in Eukaryota, Fungi, Basidiomycota, Agaricomycetes, Agaricales, Mycenaceae.
UCUUUGCUAGUAUAUUGGUUUAGUACACGCGCCUGUCAUUUGCUCUGUGGCCGCGCGAAAGCUGGGUUCGACUCCCAGGCAGAGAG